UAAAAUAAAUUGAGUGAUUCUGGGUAAAAUGAUAUAAUAAUUAGUAUAUUUAAGAAUUUUUUGUUAUGUUUUGUACCGUGAGGGGUAAAUAUAUUUUUAUAAAAGAAGUGAUUAAUUUUCGUACCUUGUGUAUUAGGGGUUGUUAAAAUAGCUAAUAAGAUAUUUUUCCCGAUAUGUUUGUGGGCUAAGAUUUUAUUUUGUUAAUGUUGCACAAUUAAUAAUAAUUUAAUUUUAGUGAUGAUAUAUUAUUCAAACAACAAGAUUUCUGGUUCUCUAAGAAUUUAAUUGAAUUAAAAAUUAAGUUUUAUAUAAGUUUAAUUAAACCCUGUGGAGGGAUAAGCUUCUACAGGAAUGGUGUAUACUUUAUUAUUAUUAAAAUUGUUUAGAUUUAAAAUUGAUCUAGUUUUUACAAUGUUAUAAUGAAAUUUUGUUUUAAUAUAUUUUAAAUAUUGUUACAUAUUAUAUUAGAGUGUUUUGUUAACUAUCAUAAAAUAGUAAUAAUGAUUAUAUUAGUAGUAAAUUGGUUAAUAACAUAAAUUUAAUUAUUACAUAGGUUUAAGGAACUAGGCAAAAUAUGUUUUCGCCUGUUUAGCAAAAACAUGGUUUUUUGGAUUUUUAUAAAAAAUCAGGCCUGCCCACUGAGUUGUUGAAGGGCUGCAGUAUUUUGACUGUACAAAGGUAGCAUAAUCAUUAGUCUUUUAAUUAAGGACUGGUAUGAAAGGUUUGACGGAAAUUAACUGUCUCAAGCCUAAGGUUGUGAAUUUUAUUUUUAAGGAAAAGAGCUUAAAUAAUACAAAGGGACGAGAAGACCCUAUUAAACUUUAUUAUCAAUAAGUAAGAUUUUUUUUCUAUAAAAUUUUUAUUUAGAAAAUAAUUUUGCUGGGGCGGCAGAUAAUUAACAAUAUUAAGUUUUAAUAUUUUAUUUAGCCUUGUUAUGAUCCACUUGGUGUGAUAUUAAGAAUGAGUUACUAUAGGGAUAACAGCGUAAUAUUUUUUGAGAGUUCAUAUUGACAAAAAUGUUUGCGACCUCGAUGUUGGAUUAAGAAGUCUUGUUGGUGCAGUAGUUGGUAAAGAAGGUCUGUUCGACCUUUAAUUUCUUACAUGAUCUGAGUUCAGACCGGCGUAAGCCAGGUCGGUUUCUAUCUUUUGUUAUAAGAUUUUAAAUUAGUACGAAAGGACCAUUUAAUGUAAAAUUUUUAUAAUCAAAUGAAUUAAUUAAAAUAUGCAGAAAAAAGUA
RNAcentral lists this ribosomal RNA (1237 nucleotides) under Macrolenostreptus orestes. Its description in RNAcentral is "16S ribosomal RNA". The stretch from base 529 to 1237 matches the Rfam family "Archaeal large subunit ribosomal RNA", at positions 1423 to 2882 of the family's 2987-position model. The record is from RNAcentral. Lineage: Eukaryota; Metazoa; Arthropoda; Diplopoda; Spirostreptida; Spirostreptidae.